UACGUAGGGUGCGAGCGUUGUCCGGAAUUAUUGGGCGUAAAGAGCUCGUAGGCGGUGUGUCGCGUCGGCCGUGAAAACCUGGGGCUUAACUCUGGGCGUGCGGUCGAUACGGGCAUCACUAGAGUUCGGCAGGGGAGACUGGAAUUCCUGGUGUAGCGGUGAAAUGCGCAGAUAUCAGGAGGAACACCGAUGGCGAAGGCAGGUCUCUGGGCAUUAACUGACGCUGAGGAGCGAAAGCAUGGGGAGCAAACAGG
Molecule: ribosomal RNA, 254 nt
Filed under: uncultured bacterium
Lineage: Bacteria
Description: partial 16S ribosomal RNA
Rfam family: Bacterial small subunit ribosomal RNA
Source: RNAcentral